CGUUACUUAAGGCUACAAAAAAAAAUGCGCCGGGUACAAAGGGUUAAAUAAACAAUAUUCAAUAUUAAAAAAAUACAUUAUUCUAUCAUGAAUGAAACAUACUGUAAUUGUUUAACUUAUUACGAACAUUUUUGCAACAUUGAAAAUCAGCAAAAUAACUUUGCACGACGACGAUAAUAGGACUGAAUAGGACUUCAUAAAAAGGGGACAAAGAAAUUCACGACGAAGUUGUAAAGGAUAGUAGGAAACAAGAAUAAUGAUAUACUCAUUAAUUGUUAACAGAAGAUUGUUUAAUCUAUGCAAUGAAUAUGGGAUGACUAUGGCUUCUUUUUAUAAAACAAAAAAUAACAAAUUCACACUUAAAUUACUAAAAAUAAAUAAUGCGUAUGUAAAUAGUAAAUAUGAACGACUAUCCACUUGAGGAAAUAAUAAAAGUAUGAGAACGAGGACAACAUAUCAUCGAAUCGAUUGCUUCUACUAUCUUCCCGCAAAAUAUUAUAAUUGCUUUCUUUGGAAUAAAGAAUCUAGGAUUCGUUUUCUUUCUUUCAUCAGAAUGUAAUAAAACUUAAUCGUUUAACUUGUUCCUACAAAGGGUAAACGCAUCACACGCAUAGCAAAUCUCAAACUGUUGCGUUGUUGUUAUUAUUAAGAUUGUUUAGAAAGACGUAACAUUUAAAAUGCUGGACAGAAGUAGGACUUGAGGAGACUAACAAAAAGUGUAACGACAAAAUGAAGAUGCGUUUGUUUAUUAUUAACCUUAUGUAAUAUCGUUUCAAAUUUUCAAUUACAUUAUUAUAUAUAAUAAAAAUAAAAAUAAAAAUAAUAAUAAUCGCAAUAAUUGUAAUAACCGUAAUAAUGAUAAUAGUAGUAAUAGUAGUAGUGGUAGUAGUAAUAGUAGUAGUAGUAGUAGUAGUAGUAGUAGGAUAGUAGUAGUAGUAGUAGUAGUAGUAGUAGUA
Long non-coding RNA from Hylaeus anthracinus, 956 nucleotides. RefSeq lists it as uncharacterized. The transcript is spliced from 2 exons. NCBI's taxonomy places the organism in Eukaryota, Metazoa, Arthropoda, Insecta, Hymenoptera, Colletidae. The record is from RefSeq and is a predicted model, not a curated record.